This 74-nucleotide transfer RNA is filed under the name Amesia sanguiflua. Its description in RNAcentral is "tRNA-Glu". The record is from RNAcentral. Lineage: Eukaryota; Metazoa; Arthropoda; Insecta; Lepidoptera; Zygaenidae.
GUUUAUAUAGUUUAUUAAAACAUUACAUUUUCAUUGUGAAGAUAAAAUUUUAUUUUUAUAAAUAUAAAAAAAAA